Molecule: ribosomal RNA, 403 nt
Filed under: uncultured bacterium
Lineage: Bacteria
Description: bacterial SSU rRNA
Rfam family: Bacterial small subunit ribosomal RNA
Source: RNAcentral
GGGGGAUAUUGCACAAUGGAGGAAACUCUGAUGCAGCAACGCCGCGUGAGGGAAGAAGGUCUUCGGAUUGUAAACCUUUGUCCUUGGUGACGAAACAAAUGACGGUAGCCAAGGAGGAAGCUCCGGCUAACUACGUGCCAGCAGCCGCGGUAAUACGUAGGGAGCAAGCGUUGUCCGGAUUUACUGGGUGUAAAGGGUGCGUAGGCGGCUCUGCAAGUCAGGCGUGAAAACUAUGGGCUUAACCCAUAGACUGCGUUUGAAACUGUGGAGCUUGAGUGAAGUAGAGGUAGGCGGAAUUCCCGGUGUAGCGGUGAAAUGCGUAGAGAUCGGGAGGAACACCAGUGGCGAAGGCGGCCUACUGGGCUUUAACUGACGCUGAGGCACGAAAGCAUGGGUAGCAAAC